AACCUACGGGGCGCAGCAGUGAGGAAUAUUGGUCAAUGGGCGGAAGCCUGAACCAGCCAAGUCGCGUGAGGGAAUAAGGCCCUACGGGUCGUAAACCUCUUUUGCCGGGGAGCAAGGGCGGGGACGUGUCCCGGCCCGGAGAGUACCCGGAGAAAAAGCAUCGGCUAACUCCGUGCCAGCAGCCGCGGUAAUACGGAGGAUGCGAGCGUUAUCCGGAUUUACUGGGUGUAAAGGGAGCGUAGACGGAAAGGCAAGUCAGAAGUGAAAGCCCAAGGCUCA
RNAcentral lists this ribosomal RNA (279 nucleotides) under uncultured bacterium. RNAcentral describes it as "partial 16S ribosomal RNA". It matches the Rfam family "Bacterial small subunit ribosomal RNA", at positions 335 to 611 of the family's 1533-position model. The record is from RNAcentral.